RNAcentral lists this ribosomal RNA (429 nucleotides) under bacterium. Its description in RNAcentral is "partial 16S ribosomal RNA". It matches the Rfam family "Bacterial small subunit ribosomal RNA", at positions 355 to 776 of the family's 1533-position model. The record is from RNAcentral. RNAcentral also lists the same sequence under 1 other name.
UAGGGAAUCUUCUACAAUGGACGCAAGUCUGAUGGAGCAACGCCGCGUGAGUGAAGAAGGUUUUCGGAUCGUAAAGCUCUGUUGUUGGUGAAGAAGGAUAGAGGCAGUAACUGGUCUUUAUUUGACGGUAAUCAACCAGAAAGUCACGGCUAACUACGUGCCAGCAGCCGCGGUAAUACGUAGGUGGCAAGCGUUGUCCGGAUUUAUUGGGCGUAAAGCGAGCGCAGGCGGAAUGAUAAGUCUGAUGUGAAAGCCCACGGCUCAACCGUGGAACUGCAUCGGAAACUGUCAUUCUUGAGUGCAGAAGAGGAGAGUGGAAUUCCAUGUGUAGCGGUGGAAUGCGUAGAUAUAUGGAAGAACACCAGUGGCGAAGGCGGCUCUCUGGUCUGCAACUGACGCUGAGGCUCGAAAGCAUGGGUAGCGAACAGG